GCCUCUUUAGCUCAGUGGUAGAGCACUGGUCUCGUAAACCAGGGGUCAUGGGUUCAAUCCCCAUAGGAGGCA
Molecule: transfer RNA, 72 nt
Filed under: Bacteroidota bacterium
Lineage: Bacteria; Pseudomonadati; Bacteroidota
Also listed under: 2 other names
Description: Bacteroidetes bacterium tRNA-Thr
Rfam family: tRNA
About the family: Transfer RNA (tRNA) molecules are approximately 80 nucleotides in length.
Source: RNAcentral